This 777-nucleotide ribosomal RNA is filed under the name uncultured Neocallimastigales. RNAcentral describes it as "partial large subunit ribosomal RNA". It matches the Rfam family "Eukaryotic large subunit ribosomal RNA", at positions 22 to 646 of the family's 3401-position model. Lineage: Eukaryota; Fungi; Neocallimastigomycota; Neocallimastigomycetes; Neocallimastigales. The record is from RNAcentral.
GUACACGCUGUGACUAGCAUAUCAAUAAGCGGAGGAAAAGAAACUAACAAGGAUUCCCCUAGUAACGGUGAGUGAAGCGGGAAGAGCUCAAAUUUGAAAUCUUAAAGGGUUUCCCUUUACGAAUUGUAGUUUAAAGAAGUGUUUUCUGUUGAGGUUUUGGUAAAAGUUCUUUGGAAUAGGACAUCAUAGAGGGUGAGAAUCCCGUAUUUGACCUUUACUUUCAACUUUGUGAUAGCACUUUCAAAGAGUCGGAUUGUUUGGGAAUGCAGUCCAAAAUGGGUGGUAAAUUUCAUCUAAAGCUAAAUAUUGGCGAGAGACCGAUAGCGAACAAGUACCGUCGAGGGAAAGAUGAAAAGAACUUUGAAAAGAGAGUUAAACAGUACGUGAAAUUGUCAAAAGGGAAGCGUUUGACACCAGUGUUGUUUUUCUGAAAAUCAAUUAAAGAACUGUUUAUGCUAAGUUGUUUAGACUUUAUCAGCUAACUGUUUAGUUUUGAGCUUUUCUUUAAUGCACUUUUCAGUUAACAAGUCAACAUCAAUUUCUUUUGCUGUAAAAAAGCUUGAGGAAGGUGGCUUGAGAUUCGUCUUAAGUGUUUAUAGCCUCUUGCCUAUGCAGUCGGAGAGAUUGAGGUCUGCAGCGUAGAUCCUUCGGGGCUAAAUGCAUUUGUGCUAAGUUAUAAGCAUUUUAUAGACAACUUGUUGACUAUGAUUUGUCUUGUAGCUUACUCGCUUAUGUUAUUUUACCUACGCUUAGGAUGUUGACGAGACUGUCGAUCUC